This is a long non-coding RNA of Scophthalmus maximus (turbot), 2192 nucleotides long. RefSeq lists it as uncharacterized. The transcript is spliced from 3 exons. NCBI's taxonomy places the organism in Eukaryota, Metazoa, Chordata, Actinopteri, Pleuronectiformes, Scophthalmidae. The record is from RefSeq and is a predicted model, not a curated record.
ACCUGGAGCAGCCAGAGGAAAGGAUGCUGAGGCAGAAACAGUCCAACGCACAGGGCUAGAAACUGCCAGCCCUGAAGAAUGACAAAAGGAACUCACUGUUACCUCAGAACAUGAUGUGAGACAGAGAGGCAGCAUGUGAGAGACGGUUUUGAUCAUGUGACUAGUGUCACGAGCGACUGCUGACACCGUGUGGUGAGAAUGCAAACCUGCAGGGGUCCCGGAUGGCCGUGUGGCUGCCUCCUGCGGGUCUGCUUGACGAGCUGGCAAAAGAACUCGUUCUGAAGCUCCGGGUGGGCCAGACACACCUGCAAGGCGCUCUGGGCCAGCGAGACGUGGUAGUCGAUGGCCGGGGCGUCGAUGGCCACAUUGAUGAAAAGCUGACAAGUCUGGGGGGAGGUGACGCAUCGAGACAGAGACGAUCUGCACUUGUGGGCCUGCGAGGGCAGAGUGGUGAGAGGAGACGACAGAGCCUCCUUACUGAAACACAGCGUGGGAUGCCUCCAGAUCUGAGAGUCUGAAAGACACGACGUGUCACAGCAAUGAAUGAAAAAAACAAGAGGACGAGUAAAUACAGAGCAAGAGGAAGAAUAAAUACGGGGCAAAGCCUCACCGUAAAUGCUAAAAGGAAUAUCUAAUUAAAAAAAACAACUAACAGGACAGAGAGAUGGACUUUGUUGACACCACGAGGUAAAUUGUCAAACAACUGCUCCAGGUGAGGCUCGAACUCACAACCUCGGCAUUGCCCUUCAGUGUACUGUCAUAUAAGUACCGCGCGCUAACCGAUUGCGCCACUGGAGCACAAAGAUUACAUGACUCUGUCUGGAGCUGAAGAGUAAAAGAAUAACAGACAAGCAAAAAAAAUCCACUGUAAAAACUAUUUGUAGAAGACACACGUGCACUCUCAAUCUAUGUGGAGACCAAUGGAGAUUUAUUUUCACCAGAACCUUUUUUCCCCACAUCUUAAUAAUCUUUAGUUAUAGAAAAACUUUUCAAAAUCCACAUUACAAAGUGCUUCACAAGGCAACAAUUAAAAAAAAAAGAGGUGUCAAUCCUCAGAAUCAAAAGACAAUGAUUACAAAAUUCAGUUCAAAGAAAAUUUACAUUAAAGAAAAAAAAUCUGGAAAGGCUCUCUUGAGAAGGGGCUUACAAGAGUCUUCUUGUUUUGAUGAAUGUACUGACUGACUGGUUGAAGGAUGAGAAAACAUAAUCUAGUUUAUUCCUAUUUUACUAAAUAAAUUACUAUAUAGUUGAAGAUAAAAAAAAAAUACAUCUCAAUAUUUUCACAGAAAUCUGAUUUAAUGCAAAUUAUAGGAGGCAAUCAAUUUUAUCAAAAAUAUGAUGACUCACCAAAGAAGGAGCAUGAUGUUAACAGUGGAAUAGUUAAAUAGUUAAAAGCAAUUUGGUUUAAUCGAUAGUUCUCAAAGCGGGAUAUGUCCGGUAUAUUUUUGUUUGUGAUUGUUCAUAUCUACUUCAGCAAAUUAGAAGUAAAACACAUUCAAAGACACAACAAGGCGGAACAUUAUUUGUAGGAAAAAACUCACUCGGAUCUCCGUCCAACUGGAAGAGCUUUCCCACCAGCUGUUCGAACUCUGUGCCAACUUUACCCACCGCGGCGCCUGCCGCCACAGACAGAUGGUACCGCCACGCGUCCUGCGGAGGCCCGAGUGACAACGACGUCAAGUUUGGACAUAGUUACUGAGAACACAAUGUGACUCUACGAUGAAGUCAGUGAAAAACAAAGGUAUAACACGGCGGUGUGAGAGCGAUGCUCUGUUGACCUCUGACCUUUUCGUGGCGGGACUCGAUUAGCAGGUAGGUGGGCCCUUGCUCCUGCGGGUGGAUGGCGAUGGUGAAGGGUGCUCCCUGGAAGCCCCGCCCGCACGCCUUCAGGUCGUCAUCUGAAUCCCGGGACCGGUCCACCUCCUCCACCUUGGCCUCCCACAGUUUAAUCUGACCCAGCGGGAACUGUGGAAAGAAUCAAACUUAAGUCUCACAUGCAGAUCCAUUCAAAUAACUGUUUAUUCUUCUUCUAUUCAGUCAUUUACAUUUACAACUACAUGUACCAUUACAUUUGAAAACAUGGAAAGAGAUUAGAGAGAGAUUUAAAUGGUGAAAUUUUUCAUUUACAGGAAAUUAAGACUGAAAUACUCAAAAUCGAUGAGGGAUCCUAAAUAAAAAAAAUGUAAUCUGGA